UUUGGUUAAGUUAGAAAGGGCGCACGGUGGAUGCCUUGACACUAGGAGUCGAUGAAGGACGGGACUAACGCCGAUAUGCUUCGGGGAGCUGUAAGUAAGCUUUGAUCCGAAGAUUUCCGAAUGGGGAAACCCACCAUACGUAAUGGUAUGGUAUCCUUAUCUGAAUACAUAGGGUAAGGAAGACAGACCCAGGGAACUGAAACAUCUAAGUACCUGGAGGAAGAGAAAGCAAAUGCGAUUUCCUGAGUAGCGGCGAGCGAAACGGAACAUAGCCCAAACCAAGAGGCUUGCCUCUUGGGGUUGUAGGACAUUCUAUACGGAGUUACAAAGGAACGAGGUAGACGAAGCGACCUGGAAAGGUCCGUCGUAGAGGGUAACAACCCCGUAGUCGAAACUUCGUUCUCUCUUGAAUGUAUCCUGAGUACGGCGGAACACGUGAAAUUCCGUCGGAAUCUGGGAGGACCAUCUCCCAAGGCUAAAUACUCCCUAGUGAUCGAUAGUGAACCAGUACCGUGAGGGAAAGGUGAAAAGCACCCCGGAAGGGGAGUGAAAGAGAUCCUGAAACCGUGUGCCUACAAAUAGUCAGAGCCCGUUAACGGGUGAUGGCGUGCCUUUUGUAGAAUGAACCGGCGAGUUACGAUCCCGUGCGAGGUUAAGCUGAAGAGGCGGAGCCGCAGCGAAAGCGAGUCUGAAUAGGGCGUUUAGUACGUGGUCGUAGACCCGAAACCAGGUGAUCUACCCAUGUCCAGGGUGAAGUUCAGGUAACACUGAAUGGAGGCCCGAACCCACGCACGUUGAAAAGUGCGGGGAUGAGGUGUGGGUAGCGGAGAAAUUCCAAUCGAACCUGGAGAUAGCUGGUUCUCCCCGAAAUAGCUUUAGGGCUAGCCUUAAGUGUAAGAGUCUUGGAGGUAGAGCACUGAUUGGACUAGGGGUCCUCAUCGGAUUACCGAAUUCAGUCAAACUCCGAAUGCCAAUGACUUAUCCUUAGGAGUCAGACUGCGAGUGAUAAGAUCCGUAGUCAAAAGGGAAACAGCCCAGACCGCCAGCUAAGGUCCCAAAGUGUGUAUUAAGUGGAAAAGGAUGUGGAGUUGCUUAGACAACUAGGAUGUUGGCUUAGAAGCAGCCACCAUUUAAAGAGUGCGUAAUAGCUCACUAGUCGAGUGACUCUGCGCCGAAAAUGUACCGGGGCUAAAUACACCACCGAAGCUGCGGAUUGAUACCAAUGGUAUCAGUGGUAGGGGAGCGUUCUAAGGACAGUGAAGUCAGACCGGAAGGACUGGUGGAGUGCUUAGAAGUGAGAAUGCCGGUAUGAGUAGCGAAAGACGGGUGAGAAUCCCGUCCACCGAAUGCCUAAGGUUUCCUGAGGAAGGCUCGUCCGCUCAGGGUUAGUCAGGACCUAAGCCGAGGCCGAUAGGCGUAGGCGAUGGACAACAGGUUGAUAUUCCUGUACCACCUCUUUAUCGUUUGAGCAAUGGAGGGACGCAGAAGGAUAGAAGAAGCGUGCGAUUGGUUGUGCACGUCCAAGCAGUUAGGCUGAUAAGUAGGCAAAUCCGCUUAUCGUAAAGGCUGAGCUGUGAUGGGGAAGCUCCUUAUGGAGCGAAGUCUUUGAUUCCCCGCUGCCAAGAAAAGCUUCUAGCGAGAUAAAAGGUGCCUGUACCGCAAACCGACACAGGUAGGCGAGGAGAGAAUCCUAAGGUGUGCGAGAGAACUCUGGUUAAGGAACUCGGCAAAAUGACCCCGUAACUUCGGGAGAAGGGGUGCUUUCUUAACGGAAAGCCGCAGUGAAUAGGCCCAAGCGACUGUUUAGCAAAAACACAGCUCUCUGCGAAGCCGUAAGGCGAAGUAUAGGGGGUGACACCUGCCCGGUGCUGGAAGGUUAAGGAGAGGGGUUAGCGUAAGCGAAGCUCUGAACUGAAGCCCCAGUAAACGGCGGCCGUAACUAUAACGGUCCUAAGGUAGCGAAAUUCCUUGUCGGGUAAGUUCCGACCCGCACGAAAGGUGUAACGAUUUGGGCACUGUCUCAACCAGAGACUCGGUGAAAUUAUAGUACCUGUGAAGAUGCAGGUUACCCGCGACAGGACGGAAAGACCCCGUGGAGCUUUACUGUAGCCUGAUAUUGAAUUUUGGUACAGUUUGUACAGGAUAGGCGGGAGCCAUUGAAACCGGAGCGCUAGCUUCGGUGGAGGCGCUGGUGGGAUACCGCCCUGACUGUAUUGAAAUUCUAACCUACGGGUCUUAUCGACCCGGGAGACAGUGUCAGGUGGGCAGUUUGACUGGGGCGGUCGCCUCCUAAAGUGUAACGGAGGCGCCCAAAGGUUCCCUCAGAAUGGUUGGAAAUCAUUCGUAGAGUGCAAAGGCAUAAGGGAGCUUGACUGCGAGACCUACAAGUCGAGCAGGGACGAAAGUCGGGCUUAGUGAUCCGGUGGUUCCGCAUGGAAGGGCCAUCGCUCAACGGAUAAAAGCUACCCCGGGGAUAACAGGCUUAUCUCCCCCAAGAGUCCACAUCGACGGGGAGGUUUGGCACCUCGAUGUCGGCUCAUCGCAUCCUGGGGCUGUAGUCGGUCCCAAGGGUUGGGCUGUUCGCCCAUUAAAGCGGUACGCGAGCUGGGUUCAGAACGUCGUGAGACAGUUCGGUCCCUAUCCGUCGUGGGCGUAGGAAAUUUGAGAGGAGCUGUCCUUAGUACGAGAGGACCGGGAUGGACGCACCGCUGGUGUACCAGUUGUUCUGCCAAGGGCAUAGCUGGGUAGCUAUGUGCGGAAGGGAUAAGUGCUGAAAGCAUCUAAGCAUGAAGCCCCCCUCAAGAUGAGAUUUCCCAUAGCGUAAGCUAGUAAGAUCCCUGAAAGAUGAUCAGGUUGAUAGGUUCGAGGUGGAAGCAUGGUGACAUGUGGAGCUGACGAAUACUAAUAGAUCGAGGACUUAACCAUAUAA
Molecule: ribosomal RNA, 2929 nt
Filed under: Bacillus cereus
Lineage: Bacteria; Bacillati; Bacillota; Bacilli; Caryophanales; Bacillaceae
Description: bacterial LSU rRNA
Rfam family: Bacterial large subunit ribosomal RNA
Source: RNAcentral